This is a long non-coding RNA of Pecten maximus, 2339 nucleotides long. RefSeq lists it as uncharacterized. The record is from RefSeq and is a predicted model, not a curated record. The transcript is spliced from 2 exons. NCBI's taxonomy places the organism in Eukaryota, Metazoa, Mollusca, Bivalvia, Pectinida, Pectinidae.
UAGUUAUAGGGAAAUCACAUUUUUGACUAUCAUUUGUUUUAGUUGUUUUGAAAUUCAUUCUAAAUUUGUUAACAUUAUCAGUAUGGGAUGACUGCUUAAUGGUAUGCACAUGUUGGCCCUGACUGAUCCCAAAAAGUAUCAAUCAAAUUUACUGAAAUAUUUCAAAAAUCAGGUGACCGUUAAGGCCCAUGGGCCUCUUGUUUUCUAAUUAAUGUAUUUUUGAUAAGGGUAUUAUUAGCUUGCCAUCAUUGCUUUCCACUAAGAAUUUUGGUUUAUUUUACUGGUGAUAUUUAGAUAAGCCCUGGUUUCUUCAAUGUGUAUAAAAUCAAGAAAAUUGUACAUAAUUUUUUUCAAAAAAAAAAAAAAACGUUACAAAAUUUAAGAAAGUUUCCUUAACUAACAAUUUCUUUCUUGUCUGCAAUAUAAUGCUUAAAAAUGGUAAGGAAUUUCUUUAAGGAACAUUGAAGAAACCAGGAUUAGACUAUGGCUGUUAGCAUUUAUUAUUCCAAUGUGUUGUUAAUGUUUUAUACCGUGCGUUGUAUACCUUAUACCUCUGCAUAGUUAGUAUGAAUAUUUCCUUUCAUUUUUACAUAACCAGUGCAUGCUUAAGAUGUUUUGUUUUUGACUUUCAAACGUUAGUUCUGUGAUAAUUUUGUUGUAUUUUGUUAUAAUACCUUUCUGUGGUAAGACUGUUGUAGCAUGUAAACAUAUCAUAUGCUGUAUGUAAAUAUUAUUAUUUACACUGAACUUUUGUAACAUAAUAGAUAACUUGAAUAUAAAGUUGGACACUUUGUGUAUAAAAUCUCAUAUACAAUAUUUGACUUCCGACGUGUGAGUAAUUAAUUCAUUGUGUGGUUUGAUUUUGGUUCAUUGCUUAAUUGGAUUAUCAAAAACAAUAUCUAAUUUAUUUCAUCCACAUCUUUUAUUAUGAUUUAACAUUUUAAAGCCAGUAUCAGUCAUGUGUUCCCCAACUUGUUGCACUUUCAAAACAUAAGGUUAUGUCCUAUAUUCGCCUGCAAUUAACAGUUCUGUAAUUUCAUUGGUGUAGACUCCCAGCCUUGAUCAAGAACAUUAUUAACAGAAAUUAAUUUAAAAUAGCAACAUUUUAAGUUCUUUUUCUUUUUUCGUGUUUUUUUUUAAUGUGUGUGGUUUUUUUCCCCUUAUGGUGAGGGUUUAUAGGGAACAUUCAUCUCUUUACAUAGAAUACAGUUUUCCCUUUAUGGUGAGGGUUAUAGGGAACAUUCAUCUCUUUACAUAGAAUACAGCUUCCCCUCUUGGUGAGGGUUUAUAAGGAACAUUCAUCUCUUUACAUAGAAUACAGUUUUCCCUUUAUGGUGAGGGUUAUAGGGAAGAUUCAUCUCUUUACAUAGAAUACAGCUUCCCCUCUUGGUGAGGGUUUAUAAGGAACAUUCAUCUCUUUACAUAGAAUACAGUUUUCCCCUCUUGGUGGGGGUUUAUAGGGAACAUUCAUCUCUUUACAUAGAAUACAGUUUUCCCUUUAUGGUGAGGGUUUAUAGGGAACAUUCAUCUCUUUACAUAGAAUACAGUUUUCCCGUCUUGGUGAGGGUUUAUAGGGAACAUUCAUCUCUUUACAUAGAAUACAGUUUUCCCUCUUGGUGAGGGUUUAUAGGGAACAUUCAUCUCUUUACAUAGAAUACAGUUUUCCCUUUAUGGUGGGGGUUUAUAGGGAACAUUCAUCUCUUUACAUAGAAUACAGUUUUCCCUUUAUGGUGGGGGUUUAUAGGGAACAUUCAUCUCUUUACAUAGAAUACAGUUUUCAUCUGAAAAGAUUUUUUAUUUUCUCCCACAGUUCUUAGGUACAUCACCAAUUAGGUCAGAAAAUGAAGGUACAGGAAAGGGAAAUUCUAUUCAAACAAUUUUAAAAUUGGUUUCUAAACCUUUUUUGAAAUUCUGAGGUAAAGAUUUCCCUAUCCACCAAUCCUGAGGUAUAAAAAAAAACUCAUUUCUCUCAUUUCUUUUACCAGAACUAACAAAGACACCGUGAAGAGUCUUUAACUGGUUAGCAUCUACCAGGAGGUGACAAAGGAGUUUCUUUAACUGUGGAUAGCUUGACACAAUGUAUUCUGUUAUGGAGAUCCUUGGCCGGGACUACAUUCCAGAGCUUUAUGUUGAUGAUACAAUUUGGUUGUUAACAAAUGUGUUUUUGGACAGUAGACACACCAGGUGCACAUUUCAAAUGUAGUAAAUGUGAACAGAUUUCGAAAAGUUUGAAAUGCAAAACAUGUAUCAAUUGAUAAAUGUAAAAAAGUCUGCAUUGCUAUUAAUGAAGAAAGUGCCAUGUUUAUAAAGAAUCAUCAAUAAACAAGUUUAUAUUAACA